AUACAACAUUUCGCUGUGGUCCUCGAAUCUGAUUGGACAAGCUACGUUCCAAAAGUGCUGAAAUACAGUCCAACAGCACUGGGAUGCUUCACUAUUUGUGUCACUCUACUUCUCCAUGGUUGUGGCUUUCCAAAUAAUGUGAUGGCGGAGGGAGACUUGAAAAGCCACACCGACGCAGAAGUUUGGGGAGAGAGAGAGAGAGAGCGACCCAAGAGCAUGGUGUCAGCAUGUACUGAGUGCAUUAAAAGUUUAUGUUAUCUUAUUGAGUGUUGUGAAGAAUCUACGUGAAUUGAGUGACGUUAAAUACGCUGAAGGCAGAAAAUAAAAGACUUGCCUGCACUGCUUCGUUGUCUCAUGACUCCUCCCUUGCCCAAAGAACCGAACUUUCCACAUGUUACUCUGGUGCUGAAACCCAGAAAAGGUGGAAGGACACGCUGUCCAGGAGAACUCACCGCUGCCGUCCACCAGGAAACAAAGAAGCCGUUGUUGUCCACAAGGAAACGAAGGACUCGCUGCCAUCCGUCGGGAGGUGGAAGAACUGCUGCCGUCUGCCAGGGGAUGAAGGAGCAACUGUCGUCCACCAAGGGGCGGAGGAGCGGCUCUGCCCCCUGGUGCCUGAGGGAGCCGAAGAAGAGCGUUUCUUUUCUCUCUCUCUCCUCACUCUUUUGUCUCUCCCGCUUGCUCUUUCUCUCUCCCCCUCCCUCCCUUCGUCUCUCUCAGAUUCUCAGGAGGUGGGGAUGACCAUCAAGUGGCUGAACAGCCAGAAGGGCAGCAUCUACCCUCCAGAGAGCCAGUCCGGAUGGUGCCCCGGCCUGAAUCGAGCAGUGGAGGAGUGUGACGAGGAGGAGGGCGUGGCCGGGCCGUGAGGAUACAUGCGUGGCGCUGAGUUGCCUAAUAAGCGGGAGGGAGAUAAGGGAAGAGCUGGGGAUGCCAGAGAGAGAGAGAGAGAGAGAGAGAGAGAGACACGCGGCCACUCUGUGUGUGUGUUUAUGCUGAUGUGUUUUCAAUUUGAUGUUCUGUUUGAUUAAAGUUUUGUUGUUUGUUACUCUGGUUCCCGCAUCCACCUUUCCCGAACUGUUACACAGGCCAAAUUGUAUGUGAAAUGCAAGUUACUCAAUAACUUCUUGUUUGGACAUCACUUCCUGUUCAUGCUGGCGCCUAGCUCAAGUCUGUUUUUGUAGCCUGCUAGCUUUUUUUUUUAAUUUUUUUUUUUUUUAAACAUCGCUUAUCUAUCUGUUUUCAGCUUUUAAUCUUUAAUAUCUGCCAUCUUUCAGUGCGCAUCAGGUUUUCCCCCGCAUUAUUCUCUUAUCGUGAUUCAACUGCAUGCAUUUUUACGCGUGCAUCUGCUUUCUAUAUUUAUCGUGAUUAAACUGCGUGCGUUUUACAGCGCGCACCCGUUUUCUCCUCUGUGUUACACAGAUUAUUGCAUCAAUCUCAAAGCACCGCUUAUCAAGAACAACCAUAACAACAAACAACUGCAUGAGGGAGUCACACUGAUCUCAAACCCUCGCCACUCAGGAACAACCAACAACAACAAACAACUGCGGUAAGUCAUGGCAUCCGCUCAUAUUAUUGCUUCCUUCAUUACAUGCCACAUGUUUACUAUAGCUUCUUCCAUCAGCAAUGAGGGAUUCACAUGAGACAAAUGUAAGGAAUUAGUCAGGCUGACGGAGAAGGUUAAUGAGUUAGAGACCUGCAUCCAAACGCUAGUGGAGGUCAGUGAGAAAGAGAAGGCGGUAGAUACUGUUUCGGAUGCGGGUAGUACAGCGAGCAACUCACACACUUUGGUUCCGGCUCUAGAGCCCCCGCAGCAGGGCUUUUGGGUGACGUCUUGCUGGCAUACUCACUCAGCAAAGUGACACGACUCUCCCAUUCCUGUUAGGGUUUACAAUCGAUUCUCCCCACUCAAUGAUACACCCACUGACAAUCAUGUUGAAAGAGCCUUGGGCAUAGGUGAUUCUAUUGUAAGGAACGUCAAAAUAGAGACUCCAGCCACCAUCGUUAAAUUCAUUUCAGGUGCCAGAGCAUCUGACAUCAGAUCAAAUUUACAAGUGCUGGCUAAUGCUAAAGGAAGAUUUAAAAAAAAAAAAUGUAUUCAAGUCGGCACUGUCUGGCUUUGCCAGUCGGAGAUCACUAGAGAUAAUGUUAAAGAGGUGUGUGAACUUGCAAGAACGAUGUCAAACACUGUAAUAUGCUCUGGCCCCCUCCCUGCUCAUCAUGGUGAUGAGGUUUACAGUAGAUUAGUGUCACUGAAUGGCUGGAUGUCUGAGUGGUGUCUGGAGAAUAGCAUAGGAUUUAUAGACUACUGGAAGAGUUUUUGGGGUAGACCUGACCUUCUAAAGAGAGACGGACUCCAUCCCUCCAGGGAAGGUGCCCCUCUCCUCUCUAGUAAUUUGGCUUAUAGUCUUAAUAGUGAUAGUAUUUGACUAACUGGGGCCCAGGUAAGGAAGCAGACAAACUGGCUAAUCCGAACAUCUGCUAGCUACCUUGAGACGUCACACAGGUCACAUAAACUACAACACAGAGACCGUGUCUGUUUCCCAAACUACCAAACACAAACCCCUCACUAAAUCACUUAGAAAAUAAAAAAAUGAAGAUAAAGAUAGGGCUAUUAAACAUUAGAUCUCUUUCAACCAAAGCACUAAUUGCAAAUUAAAUUAUUACAGAUCAUAGUUUGGAUGUGCUCUGUUUGACUGAACCUGGCUUAAACCGGAUGAAUAUAUUAGUUUAAAUGAAUCUACUCCCCCAGGUUAUUGUUAUUAAAAUCAGUCUCAUCUGAAGGGUCGAGGAGGAGGUGUUGCUACAAUUUACAGUGAUGUUUUUGGUGUUACUCAGAGGACAGGAUAUAAGUUUAAGUCUUUUGAACUAAUAAUGCUUAAUGUAACAUCGUCAGAUAUAAAUAAAAAAUCUCUGUCGUCUUUUACCCUUGCUACAGUAUAUAGAUCAACCGGGCCUUAUUCUGAUUUCCUUGGUGAAUUUGCUAAUUUUCUAUCAGAUCUAGCAGUUACUGUAGAUAGAGCUUUAAUUGUUGGUGACUUCAACAUUCACACAGAUAACGAAAAUGACACAACGGGAUUAGUAUUUACUGAUAUUCUCAACUCACUUGGAGUCAGACAAAAUGUGACAGGACAACUCAUCGCCAUAAUCAUAUGCUAGAUUUAAUUCUGUCAUAUGGAGUUGAUACUACAGAAAUUCUACCGCAGAGCAAUGACAUCUCAGAUCAUUACCUCGUCUCUUGUAUGCUGCGAUCAGCUAAUGUUACUCAAUCUACACCAUGCUAUUCGACCACUAAAGGUAGCUUCACUAAUAAUCUUCCAGAUCUAUCUCAUACUCAGUAAGCCCCAAAGUCUAGAAGAACUUGAUGAAGUAACAGAAAAUAUAAAUACAGUCUUCACUAGCACUCUUGAUUGUGUCGCCCCCCUUCGAUUAAAGAAAAUUAAAGAAAAAAGCCCCGAACCAUGGUACAAUGAUCACACUCAUGCUCUCAAGAGAGCAGCUUGGAAAAUGGAGUGCAAGUGGAAGAAUACAAAAUUAGAGGUAUUUUGCGGUGCAUGGAAGAAUAGUGUCUGAAGCUACAGACAGGCACUAAAAGCUGCCAGGUCAGCAUAUUUUAGCAAACUCAGAGAAAAUAACCACAACAAUCCUAGGUGUUUAUUCAGUACUGUGGCAUAGUUGAUUAGGAAUAAAUCCUCAACUGAACCAGAUAUUCCGUCGCAGCACAAUAGUAAUGACUUCAUGAAUUUCUUUACUAAUAAAAUUGAAAUAAUCAGAAAUAAAAUUGAAAGUAUGCAAUCAUCUGUCACAGUACCUCAGAAAACAGUGUCUCAUAACUUUCCUCACGUGCAACUUCAAUCCUUCGCUGUCAUAGGUCAUGAAGAGCUAACAAAACUUAUCGAAACAUCAAAAGCCACAACAUGCAUGUUAGAUCCAAUACCAACUAAGCUCUUAAAAGAGGUAUUGCCUGUAAUCUCAGAACCUCUUCUUAAUAUUAUUAACUCCUAACACUAUUCGGGACACAGACAUACUUACUGAGUUUAAGUCUAGACUAAAGACACAUCUAUUUAGUCAGGCAUACACCUAAUUUAUUCUUCACCACACAAUUAGGCUGCUUUAGUUAGGUCUGCCUGAACCUGAAACAUUGAUCAUGAUCUAUAACUCUGCAAAAAAUGUAAUGGCAUCUACGCUAAUAUUAUUCUAUUUAUUUCCAUGUCUCAACCGAGGUCACCAGAACCGGCCGGAUCCAGCUCGAUUCCUGCUUGAUAUCGGACUCCACUGCUACGUGUCUCUGAGUGAUGACGACAAAAUGCAGCCGGUGUCAGCCAGACAUCACUUCAGUCUAUUAUCAUAGACUAUCAAUAAUCUGCCAACAAAAGCCUUCAUCAGCCAACUAACAAAGAACAAUGUAUCUGUAUGAACUUCUGCAGCUAAUCCAGGAUGAACUUCAAAGACAUUAGUCAUUAAUCUUACAGUUACUUAACACUUACUUAAUCAUUUUAAACCAUGACUUGCACUGCACAUAAAUAAGUAAUAUUGGUAUUAUAUUCAUGCUGUUUAGCCAGAGGGGAACUGGCCCCCACAGUGAGCCUGGUUUCUCCCAAGGUUAUUUUUCUCCAUUAACCAACACCUUAUGGAGUUUUGUGUUCCUUGCCACAGUCACCUUUAGCUUGCUCACUGGGAUUCUAAAUACAGUUAUUAUUUAAUUACUUAUUUUUAUACACAAUUAAUAAUCAUAUUUAAUCAAACUACACAAUGAUGACUUUAUAGAUAUUACAGUUUCAUUUUCUGUUAAUGCAUGAUUUUCUGUAAAGCUGCUUUAAAACAAUGUGUGUUGUGAAAGGCGCUAUACAAAAAAAAAAUUCUUGACUUGUUUAUAUAACUGUUGAAUAAAAGCAACAUCACAUUAGCUAAUCCUGCUGCUGCACUAAAUAUCAGCAAGCCUGUGAUUUACCAGCGCUACUCGGCCUGCAGCCAAAUCACAGCCACGAGUACAUCAGCACCCCUACUGGUGUGAUAUUGCUUUACUGUAUCGAUAAUUAGUAUACUGUGGCGGAUCGACCCACACCUCCCUCAUGUCAUCAUCAUCCAACCUCUUCUAAAGGCUGUAGGACGCCUACAAUAGUAGUGGGCAGGAGAAGGGAGACACACAAUUUAAUAAGACUAAUUUGACAGCGAAAAAUGAGGCGCUAGAAACUCAGAAAGCCGGAUUCUGUCUCCUUGUGUGCACACACUGCCGUCCUCUCAGUGAUUAGAGCGGUUAGGGUACCUGCCAAAUUAGACGCGCUACCGGACCUGCUCCCCCGGAACCCCAGCAUGAGUUAAAUGUGUUGCUGGGGAUGACAGUGUAACGGUAGCCAGCUGGUAUGUGAUAGCUGUGCAGUGUGUAAACCUCACUCUUCUGGCCUUAAGAGAUGCACUAGUGACCGAGGCUAAAGCCAUGGCUGUUCUAGCCUCCUUGCUAGCACGUCCGACUCCCAUGCCGGGGAUCGCCGGUUCGAAUCCUGCUCGGGGAGGGUCGAGCAGGGACGGUGACAACAGCACGCAUUGCGACAGAUGGGCUAUGAAGCCUGAUUGUCCAUCCCCUCACAUGCCGCGACCCCCGGAAAGACAUGGUGCCACAGAAGCCGCCGCCCCUUGCACCCAGGAACCUAGGAGGGGAGCACGUGUUACCACUGGACCCCGCCCAUAUCCUGGACCAUCCCAUGAGCACUCCCUGACCUACACAAAGCUCCCUUCUCACUGCGAGGAUGCCAGAUUCCCCAUUUCUUUUGGACACUUUCCCCGAAGACACUUUAUUCCACUUCUGAACAUUUAUAUUGUUUAUUGUUUAAAAGAAAGGCCUCUCCGAGGCCUGACACCACGCCCAUUGUGUCUUGUAACAUGGUAAUGCAAGAGUA
Myxocyprinus asiaticus (Chinese sucker) is the source of this 5894-nucleotide long non-coding RNA. RefSeq lists it as uncharacterized. The transcript has 3 exons. The record is from RefSeq and is a predicted model, not a curated record. Lineage: Eukaryota; Metazoa; Chordata; Actinopteri; Cypriniformes; Catostomidae.